GGCCUCUUGUUUGGCUCGUGGCGUGACCGUGAUGAAGAAAUGUUUCUGGGCGCCUGGCAGGGUGCUCUUUCUAUGUCAUGAGUCAGGAUUUUGCCAACGGAAGGAGUCCGCGCAGCGAGAACCGCGGGCCGCCGCUCUCCGGACCGGGAAGCCGCCAGGGAUCCCCGCUCCGCCCCGGGGAGCCGCCGGGCACCGGCACGCGUAAAAUGGACAGUUUCUACUGUGAUGGAUGGUGAGGGUGGCCCCAGCACCACUGCUCCUAGAGCGUCCUGCAGUGCCCAGCAUCAGCACUGAGACAGCUGGGAUCCGUUUGUUUGAAAAGCAAGAAGCAGUUUAGAGAAGAUGAAAAGAUGGCAGUAUGUUUGGAAUCAAAAUCCAUUUUUCUUGAGAAAGAAACUGUCACAAAUUAUUGAAAAGAUAAUAUUUAGAAAGAUCAACUCCAAUUAUUUAUUGCAUUCAUCAUCUGUAAAAAGUUGAAAGCCUUACUAGCUGUUUUCUAAGUAAAAUAAAUUAAAAACUCAUUUUUAGAAUGACUUUUCAGCAUUGCUAAAAAGCAAUAAAGCAAUAAAUUCAGCAAAGCUUUAAAAAACAGCUUAUGUACAGUGAAGCAGCAGAGGGUUUUCCAGUGUCUUCUGUCUCUCCACUUCACAGAAUCAUAGAAUCACAGAAUCACAGGACUGUAGGGGUUGGAAGGGACCUGCAGAGAUCAUCGAGUCCAACCCCGUGCCAAAGCAGGAAUGUUGGACACUGAGGUUGGUUACUGAAAGCAGUGAGAUCAGAACCGGGUGGCAUGGCUGGGGGAUUGCUCUGUGCCCUGAGUUCUGAAGCAGGGCCUCAGCAUCUGACAUUCCCUGACCACAUGUUACCACAGAAGAGUUUUGUGACUGCCCUCCAAUACGGCCAUUGGGAAGGAGAGGGUGGCGGUGGCCGGAGUUUGGCUCCAAGCCGUUCCUCAGUCCAGGCUGUGAGGUCAGUCAUCCCCCCUACGAGGCUGUCUGGAGUUCGUCCAGGGCAGGAAGGGGGCAGCCGUGCUGUGAUUGCUGGCCUGUGCCUUGCCCUUCCCUCGCCCUUCUAACUGUACGCAUCAGCACUGCUCGCCUGCGCAAGGCCUGCUCCACGCACCGAAAGAGAAUCUGUUCAGAUGCGUCUCACAGAGGUAUCAUCACCUUUUUUUGUCAUAUCUGCUGGUUAUGAAGGAAAAAAAGACCCAGUCACAUUUUAAAAAAUUAAACAUUAGAGGAAAAACGUUGCUCUGAUGAGGAAGCUGCACCUGUGGGGAAAGAAGUGGCAUGAAAGCGGUUUUAUUACGUGUAUAAAGCCGCUUCAGAACAUGCAGCUCGAGAGUACAGCAUUCUGGUGAAAUGGGGGACUUCAAGUGAGUUUAAGUCACUGCUUGCCCUGUUCUCAGUGCAAAUUAGUUAAUAAUUCAUUGCAGUGUAAUAUGCUUUUUUCCCCAAGAGAUGCAAACAUUUAGGGAAUUUGGUAAAAGCACAGGCAUGGCAAAAAGAACAAAGAAUUGGCUUUCCUGCCUUUGCUGCAGUCCAGCAGCCGGGCUGCUCCUCGGUGGCCUCUGGGUGCACAGGUGGCCUCUGGUUGUGGAUUUCUUUCAGGGCUUUUCUACAAGAUGCACAAAGUAAAUAAAGACAAUAGGAACACAAAUAAAAGCACAUCUGUUACCGAGGUACUGCAGGAUGUUCCAGGACUGGCCCACGAGGGUCAGUAAUAGAAUGUAGAAUGUAGUGAUUUUACAGCUGGGAUAUUUCUAUCUGUUAUCUAUUGAUUCUGUUGGAAACAUCAGUCUGUAGAGUCAUCAGAACCUCAGUUUUUACUUUGUUGUUGCUGCUGUCCAUGUCGAAGUUUUCUUUUGUAACAAAAGGCCUUUCUGAAAGCAGGCAAGCAGCACGCAGCCCUGGCAGCAGGCGCAUGGGUGCUGCUGGAAGCCACAGGAGCUGCAUCAACUCCAAACCAGGAGCUGCAAGAUCACAGUAGUGUUUCUGGAACAUGGGGACAGAAACAAACAAAGACCAACUGGAUUAUACAGCACGGCGUAUUAAAUAACAUAUGAGGAA
This is a long non-coding RNA of Centrocercus urophasianus (Greater sage-grouse), 2069 nucleotides long. RefSeq lists it as uncharacterized. The transcript is spliced from 2 exons. NCBI's taxonomy places the organism in Eukaryota, Metazoa, Chordata, Aves, Galliformes, Phasianidae. The record is from RefSeq and is a predicted model, not a curated record.